UACGUAGGGUGCAAGCGUUGCCCGGAUUUAUUGGGCGUAAAGGGCGCGUAGGCGGCUCUGCACGUUCGUUGUGAAAUCGCCCGGCUCAACUGGGCGGGGUCAGCGGAUACGGCAGAGCUUGAGCAAGCUAGGGGGCAAUGGAAUUCCCGGUGUAGUGGUGGAAUGCGUAGAUAUCCGGAGGAAUACCAAAGGCGAAGGCAGUGUCCUGGCUGGCAUCUGACGCUGAGGCGCGAAAGCUAGGGGAGCGAACAGG
Molecule: ribosomal RNA, 253 nt
Filed under: uncultured bacterium
Lineage: Bacteria
Description: partial 16S ribosomal RNA
Rfam family: Bacterial small subunit ribosomal RNA
Source: RNAcentral